CGUCCUUCGGGGCGCGCCUCUCUCUCCCAGGUCCCUUCGGGGCGCCCGCCAGCGGCCGCGAGCCGCCUGAACUUUUUUUAAACCGUAACGAAACGUCUGAGAAACAAACAAAAACAGCCAAAACUUUCAACAACGGAUCUCUUGGCUCUGGCAUCGAUGAAGAACGCAGCGAAAUGCGAUACGUAAUGCGAAUUGCAGAAUUCAGCGAGUCAUCGAAUCUUUGAACGCACAUUGCGCCCGCCAGCAUUCUGGCGGGCAUGCCUGUCCGAGCGUCAUUUCCCCCCUCAGCACGCCCUUUGGGUGCGCUGGCGUUGGGGCUCCUCCGCCCUCUGUGGCGGCAGGGCCCUCAAAUCCAGUGGCGGGCCCGUCUGGUUGGCUCCGAGCGCAGUACCGAACGCAAGUUCUCUCUCUCGCUCUGCAGCCCCGGCCGGCGCCCAGCCGUCAAGCCGCGCAGGCGACCCUCUCGAGGGCCGCCUCGC
Molecule: ribosomal RNA, 479 nt
Filed under: Ophiostoma piceae
Lineage: Eukaryota; Fungi; Ascomycota; Sordariomycetes; Ophiostomatales; Ophiostomataceae
Description: eukaryotic LSU rRNA
Rfam family: 5.8S ribosomal RNA (bases 122-275)
Source: RNAcentral